GGGCCUCCAGCCAGCACCCGCCCCUGCCUGGGAGCCGUCGGGGCAGACGCGCAGGCCAGAGAGGCCGGCGUGGGUGCUCCAGCGCAUGGGCCUGCAGGCAGGGUACCGAGAAGGAAGUCUAUGGACGCAGGUCUCGAUUGAGCGCCUGUGGCGUGUCCAGCUCUGCCUCGGGAGGCCGGGGUGAAGGUGAGGGCCAGGGUCCAGCUCUGUGAUGACGCAGCUAGUGCUGACGGAGGGACAGAUGCUCCGGGGACUCGUGUCCUUGAAGAGGCGCCUGGAGGAUAAGAAAGGUCUGUCUCGGCGCCUGCGUGUUGGCUGUGGAACUCGAGGGGAUGCCCUGCGCUUCCAGGCUGAGACAUCAUUUCUUCUGCCCUUGGUUGCUGGGGGAAUUGACUGACCAAGUCAUUCCCCGUGGAACGCCCUCCUGGGGUGUCCGCCUUGGACUUCAGGCAAGCUCCUCCAAAUUCAGGCCCCCACGAGGGCGAGAGCAGUCACGGGGCUCAUCUGCCCAGGCUCCUGGGCACCGUGGGGAGAAUCAGGAACAGAGGAGACUAGGGAGAGAUGCCCCAAGGGUGUAAAAUCUCAGGACAAGGACUGAGGGGGGCUUCAGAGGUCAACAGACCCCAAGGGCAGAAGCAGCUUUGGAAACCAUCAGAUGUGAUCCCGAGCGCCCAGGAGGGCUCGUGCUGGCUGGAUGCCUCUUGGAGAGCAAAUCGGAGGGAGAACGGGAUGGAGCAGUGCCCUCCAAGUCCAGCGCCUGGCCCCACCCUCAGUGGAGGAGGGGCUGUAGCUCCAGGUCCCCUACCCCUCGGUCCCCUACCCCUUGGUCCCCUGAGAACAGGUGCUUGGGUCUCCCUCCGAGGGUCAGCUGCACCAUGAGCAGUGAGGCACACCCCCUCACUUACUAAACUGGAUCGGCCAUUCAAUCACGCAA
Molecule: long non-coding RNA, 934 nt
Organism: Suricata suricatta (meerkat)
Lineage: Eukaryota; Metazoa; Chordata; Mammalia; Carnivora; Herpestidae
Exons: 3
Source: RefSeq, a predicted model, not a curated record